This 819-nucleotide ribosomal RNA is filed under the name uncultured bacterium. Its description in RNAcentral is "bacterial SSU rRNA". It matches the Rfam family "Bacterial small subunit ribosomal RNA", at positions 338 to 1159 of the family's 1533-position model. The record is from RNAcentral.
CCUACGGGAGGCAGCAGUCGGGAAUCUUGCGCAAUGGGCGAAAGCCUGACGCAGCAACGCCGCGUGAGCGACGAAGGCCUUCGGGUCGUAAAGCUCUGUUGUUGGGGACGAAGGGUUAGGGGUUAAUAGCCCCGAGCCUGACGGUACCCUUCGAGGAAGCCCCGGCUAACUACGUGCCAGCAGCCGCGGUAAUACGUAGGGGGCGAGCGUUGUCCGGAAUUAUUGGGCGUAAAGAGCGUGUAGGCGGUCCGGUAAGUCCGCCGUGAAAACUCGGGGCUCAACCCCGGGCUUGCGGUGGAUACUGUCGGGCUAGAGGGUGGUAGAGGGGAGUGGAAUUCCCGGUGCAGCGGUGAAAUGCGCAGAUAUCUGGAGGAACACCUUGAUCGAAGGCUGUUCCCUGGGCCGUUGCUGACGCUGAAACCGGAGCUUCUGGGGAGCAAACCGGAUUAGAUACCCUGGUAGUCCACGCCGUAAACUAUGAACACUAGGUGUGGGGGGAGUCGAAUCCCUCUGUGCCGUAGCCAACGCGAUUGGUGUUUCGCCUGGGGAGUAAUUGUGCAAGAUUAAAACUGCUGGAAUUCGUAGGAGGCCGGACCGUCACUCGAUCAUGUUGUUUAAGACCAUGCUACGCGAAAAACCUUACCUGGGCUUGAUGUGUGGCUGCUAGCGCACGGAAACGUGUGAGCUUCGAGGGUGCCUCACAGAUGCUGCAUGGCUGUCUUCAUCUCGUGUCUGGAGAAGGUGGGUUAGUCAUGCGGUAUCGCACGCCCGUGGUGUGUUGUCCCAUUAUCUUGGGGACUCACACAGACUGCCUGUGAC